AUGACGCUGAAGGGCCGAGCGUCCCGCUUGCUGACUCACCGGUGGAUUUUUGCUUCUGGUCACUACUCGGCUCCUGUGUCCGGUCCAGCAAGAGGCCUCUUACCCACGGCGGCGGUCCCGAGGCCCCACCGACUUCUUCCAGCGUGUCCGGAUGUGGCUAACCCUUGGCGAGCAGGGGCUCUCUGUGAGGCAGCGGCACUCCCGGGAUCUCAGGAGUUCGAGGGUGGCACUGGCCGCUGCUGCACGCGUUUGAGCUGUGGGCAGCGUGUGCCGAGACUAUGGAGGGCUGAGACAGUGAGGUCAGGGCGUUCACGUGGGCAGCCUCUCCGUGGGUGUUAAAAAUAAAAAAGGAAAAAGAAUGAACUCA
This 367-nucleotide long non-coding RNA is filed under the name Meriones unguiculatus (Mongolian gerbil). RNAcentral's name for it is "lncRNA (ENSMUGG00000009498.1)". Lineage: Eukaryota; Metazoa; Chordata; Mammalia; Rodentia; Muridae. The record is from RNAcentral.